This 440-nucleotide ribosomal RNA is filed under the name uncultured bacterium. RNAcentral describes it as "partial 16S ribosomal RNA". It matches the Rfam family "Bacterial small subunit ribosomal RNA", at positions 338 to 795 of the family's 1533-position model. The record is from RNAcentral.
CCUACGGGGGGCAGCAGUGGGGGAUAUUGCACAAUGGGGGAAACCCUGAUGCAGCGACGCCGCGUGAGUGAAGAAGUAUUUCGGUAUGUAAAGCUCUAUCAGCAGGGAAGAAAAUGACAGUACCUGACCAAGAAGCCACUGCUAACUACGUGCCAGCAGCCGGGGGAAUACGUAGGGUGCAAGCGUUAUCCGGAUUUACGGGGUGGAAAGGGAGCGUAGACGGUUAUGUAAGUCUCGAGUGAAAGCCCGUGGCUCAACCCCGGGACUGCUUUGGAAACUGUGUAACUAGAGUACUGGAGGGGCAAGCGGAAUUCCUGGUGUAGCGGUGAAAUGCGUAGAUAUAAGGAGGAACACCGGCGGCGAAGGCGGCCUGCUGGACUGAUACUGACGUUGAGGCUCGAAAGCGUGGGGAGCAAACAGGAUUAGAUACCCGAGUAGUC